AUGACAACCAAGACCCGACACCCCCCUCCCCCCGCAUUCUCCGCUGAUUCGCCGGUGGUUUCCAGGCAACAGCUAUACAAAUCCAGGAAAACACCCGGAAAAGACCCUGGGCCAUGGAAUAACUCGAACUUAAGCAGAAUAGAAGGGUGGAAACAUGGCGACCUCUUCGCUUCCUCUCUUAGAAAACACAGACUCUCUGAAGCUGAAGGUGGAAAACAAAACGAGGAACAUCUUUGUGACACAGUCGGCUCAGACCAGACGUCUAGUAGAAUUCUAGAGGCAGGAGUGAACACAUUGCAAAAGACCCUGGUUCUGAAGAAACAGGCUGAGUUGGACGAGGUGGACAAGCAACUUGCACUGAAACGGCAGGAGUUUAAAGGGCAGGUGGAAGCUCUGGCUCAGAAACGGUCUGAACUGGAACUGAAACACCAGCAGACCAAAGACAGGGCCAUGAAAUUUGAAAAGUUCGUGGCUGAAAACGAGCUGAAGCGGCGGCGGGCGCUGAAGAAGUUCGAGGUCACGCGGGAGCAGAACAUCCUGAAGCAGGCGGAGAUUGAAGAGCUGAGCAAUGGGCUCAGACGGCUGCAGACCAGAGGUCAAGUUUUAAAGGAGAGAAUUGCAAAAUAUAAAAUCUAUGAGGACUACUUGAUGAGAACACUGAGUCAUCUCCCCAGCAGUUACCUCGAUAACGGCUCUGAGUCUUUGGUGAUGCCAAUCAUUCGGCGCCACGAGACUCUGUCCAUCAUCAACCAGGAGCUGCUGCGGCGCCUGGAGCGUCUGGAGCUGGAGACGGAGCAGGGUCAACAGCGGCUGCAGACCAUGCAGCAGGAGCACAGCGUCAAAUCACUGUUGGCCAACAAAGAACUGUCUGAACUUCAGAGCGAGUUAGAGGUUCUUAAGGAGAAAAACAAACAGGAGGAGGCGAACCUGCUGAUGGAGCAAGGCCUCUCCAGGGAGAAGGUCGAGGAAGUGGGAAGAUUGCUUAUGGCCAUCAGUAACCUAGCAGAGCAGUGUUACCUGCCGGCAUAUGGACCUCUACAAAACAUGAACCUACUGACGAUGCUGGAUAUGGUGAAGGAAUACAUCCUGGACAAGGCCGACACCGAGAGGAGAGCGAGGAAGCUGAUGCGGUCGGCGUCUGCAGCGACGAACAAGGCGGCAGCUGUAACUGACAAGAGGUGGAGGGGAUCGAAGAAAAGCAUCGACAGUAAAACGCACUUGAAAAGUUCAAGUAAAGUCAGUAAAAAAAGUGACUCGGUGAAUUGA
This 1266-nucleotide long non-coding RNA is filed under the name Betta splendens (Siamese fighting fish). Its description in RNAcentral is "lncRNA (ENSBSLG00000017523.1)". The record is from RNAcentral. Lineage: Eukaryota; Metazoa; Chordata; Actinopteri; Anabantiformes; Osphronemidae.